GACCUGAGAGGGUGAUCGGCCACACUGGAACUGAGACACGGUCCAGACUCCUACGGGAGGCAGCAGUAGGGAAUCUUCCGCAAUGGGCGAAAGCCUGACGGAGCAACGCCGCGUGAGUGAUGAAGGUCUUCGGAUCGUAAAACUCUGUUAUUAGGGAAGAACAAAUGUGUAAGUAACUGUGCACGUCUUGACGGUACCUAAUCAGAAAGCCACGGCUAAACUACGUGCCAGCAGCCGCGGUAAUACGUAGGUGGCAAGCGUUAUCCGGAAUUAUUGGGCGUAAAGCGCGCGUAGGCGGUUUCUUAAGUCUGAUGUGAAAGCCCACGGCUCAACCGUGGAGGGUCAUUGGAAACU
RNAcentral lists this ribosomal RNA (354 nucleotides) under bacterium LimB-10-J-158. Its description in RNAcentral is "bacterial SSU rRNA". It matches the Rfam family "Bacterial small subunit ribosomal RNA", at positions 289 to 634 of the family's 1533-position model. The record is from RNAcentral.